Molecule: long non-coding RNA, 2494 nt
Organism: Nylanderia fulva
Lineage: Eukaryota; Metazoa; Arthropoda; Insecta; Hymenoptera; Formicidae
Source: RefSeq, a predicted model, not a curated record
CUAAACCUAGAAAAACAAUUUCAUUACACCGACCAGUCAUCAGAAAGGAUUGAAUCGAGCUUUCAUCCUAUCGCAAACAAUCCCCCACCGUAAUUUACUCUUGACCUUCAAGUCUUAAUUAUGUGAUAUGCUUCGUUGAUGAAAAGAUUCUUUGAGGAUAAUCCUGCGGAUUAUCUUCUCAUUAUUCUCACACAUCAUAACAAUAAGACCGAUCGAGCGUAUAAAUUCGCAGGAAAUACUUUGUCAAUAUGAUUCCAAAAUUCAAGGGACUCAAUCGCUCGCUGAACUCAACACCAAAGGCUACAAGUGGCCGUCCUUCGACAGCGUUAUCGUGUCAUUCCCCCUGGAGAUAUUGUCUCUCGAGAGCACGGUGAGACCUCUCUGCCUUACUCACCCCGAUAGAAGCUGAGCUCGCCGGUGGACAGGCUCAGCAGGAGCGGCAGCGUCAGCCAAGUGCAGCUCCACCGAAGGAGCAUCCUCUCGUGGUAGUCGUCGUCACUGCUGCUGGUCGGCUGCCGAGGCUGCUGUCCGCACACAAGAUGUACGACGAUCCUAUCGUCGCUCUAUUCGCGUCUCCAUAUGCGAGGAGCACGUCACUUCAUUCAGGGCGGAUGACGAGCUUGCGCGGUUCGGCGCUCGCUUUCACGUUCAAUCAAUAAAACCGACCACCGCCGAGAGACUUUCGCGCCCUUCCACGUCCCGCCUUCGUCUGAUCCCUCGACGUUUCGUUCUUUGAAAACGGCGCGACCUCCUCCUGUUUCGCCUCCAGCGCGAUUAACAUGAGCGCAUUAGGUACCAUUAAGCAUGUCCCCACUAUUCUGCACACCCGCAUAUGCACAUGUGCGGAUUUGUUCCGGACGUCAGACGACGCUUCCGAUUCGUAUUCCGUCUGUCGAGACCUUCAUUCUUCAGAGUUCAUUCGCCGGUUCGGUGUUCGAUGACAAUGAGGAAUGUUUUACUCCAUUCAUAAUGUACGGUUCGAUUGUGGAUGCUGUUGUGCUCCGGAACUAUCGGGAAAAAAGGACAAUGAUAGUUAAAUAAUGAUAGUAACGGCGAAUUUUUGAGUCGAUAUACUUUGGAUGUAAUACCCGAUCUGAUGAUACGCGUUUGAAUACAUCAUUGUUCUUGGAAACGUUUCACUUUGUAACAAUCAUUUAUUUAGUCAAGGUACAGCGAUCCAAGUAAAGAUAAUCAUUAUCUUUAAUGACAUCGACGGAUUAAGGUAUCUAAUUAAUGUAUCCCACAUAUGAUGUUUCGAUGAAUCCUCAUCCGGAAUUUACAAUCCGACAUAAUUUUCCGCUUUUGUCAGUUUAAUCGGCUUUCAUAAUGGAUAAAAUCAAAGUUAUAAAGUGGUACAAAAAUUCGAUUUAGUUAGCACAGCUAAAUGAUCAGCGCCUCAAUUGUCGUCCAUGAGAGAUUCGCCCUUCAAAAGUAACCGAAUCGGCUUGCGCUUCUCGUCGACCUUCUGCUUCCUUCUGCGGUUUAUCACGCCGUCAGAAGCAUCCAUCAUUCGCAAUAUCUGCGUCUGAUCCGAACAGUCGACCGGUGCGACGGAGAUGUCCCGUACGGCUCGAAACUUUCCGCAAUUGUUCAAAUGCUCGUUUUCCAAGCGGAAGAAAUUCCACACGAAACGCCUAUCGAGCAAACAUUCCAACAUUAUGUGACAGUUCAAUUUCCCCCAACUCAAUCUCUUACCAUAUACACACACAUAUAUAAAUAUGUAAAUAUAUAAAUAUAUGUAUAUGUAUAUAUAUUUGUAAUUUAUCUAAAUUGAGAAAAAAUCACAUAUAUCGUGCAAACUAUACAAUACAAAACAUCCAAUGAGAUUAAAGAAUAUUAUGCAAAUCUAUAUAUACAUAUAUAUAGCGAUAUUUCAUCAACUUCAGAGAUAAGUCGAAUUUAAAUAUACAUCUUGAAACAAACAAAUUAAAUAUCUUUAAACAAGAUAAAAAAGACAAAUUACAACGUAUCAAACACUGCAAUCAUCAGACUCCACUAUUCGUUUUCAUUGUCGUUGUUGUCAUCUGCGUUGUUAUCAUCCAUCAGACGGAUCAUGUUCCUGAUACCAUCGUCCUCGUCGCGUCUGAUAGGUCCUAUGGAGAUGUCCCGCACUGCCCGGAACUUGCCUACGUUGUACAGAUGCUCGUUCUCCAGUCGAAAGUAAUUCCACAUGAACCUUCUAGCGACUUAUUAGUAUAAGGCACAUUGAUAAGCGAUUAGAUCGGCCGGUCUAUCGUCGAUUAAGUCCCCAGAUAGCCACAGUAAUUAUUAUGACAUUACUUUGCUGUCAAAAUGACGUAAUUUGACGUCAGAAUAAUAUUACUUUUGCUAUCUGGGUCGUAAUUUUCUCAACGAUUAUUUCGUAACUAUUAUACAGAGCGAUCGACAUUAGAAUAAAGUAGCUUGAAACAAUUUCGAGUGCAAAUAAUCAUGUAUGCAUGCACAUUUCUUAAACAUUAAUUAUCGAGAAUAACGAUAUAACGAUACAAAUUGA